GAUGAACGCUGGCGGCGUGCUUAACACAUGCAAGUCGAGCGAGAAGUUUUGAAAAGAUUCUUCGGAUGAAAUUUAAAAUGGAAAGCGGCGGACGGGUGAGUAACGCGUAGGCAACCUGCCCCAUACAAAGGGAUAGCAUUUGGAAACGAAUAUUAAUACCUUAUGAAACUUAACUAGUGCAUGCUAGGUAGGUCAAAGAUUUAUCGGUAUGGGAUGGGCCUGCGUCUGAUUAGCUAGUUGGUGAGGUAACGGCUCACCAAGGCGACGAUCAGUAGCCGACCUGAGAGGGUGAACGGCCACAUGGGGACUGAGACACGGUCCAAACUCCUACGGGAGGCAGCAGUGGGGAAUAUUGCACAAUGGGGGAAACCCUGAUGCAGCAACGCCGCGUGAACGAUGAAGGCCUUUGGGUCGUAAAGUUCUGUUCUAGGUGAUGAAAACUGACAGUAACCUAGGAGAAAGCCCCGGCUAACUCCGUG
Molecule: ribosomal RNA, 479 nt
Filed under: uncultured bacterium
Lineage: Bacteria
Description: partial 16S ribosomal RNA
Rfam family: Bacterial small subunit ribosomal RNA
Source: RNAcentral